Molecule: ribosomal RNA, 347 nt
Filed under: Trochoideus goudoti
Lineage: Eukaryota; Metazoa; Arthropoda; Insecta; Coleoptera; Endomychidae
Description: partial 12S ribosomal RNA
Source: RNAcentral
UCAAAUUAUAAGCUUUUACUUAGAUUAGUAAGUGUUAUGUUCAUUAAAAUUAAAUAAAAUGGCGGUAUCUUAUUCUUUUCAGAGGAACCUGUUUUAUAAAUGAUAAUCCACGAUUGAUUCAAUUUUUAUUAAUAGUUUGUAUAUCGUCGUAAAAAGAAAAUUUUUAAAAAUUUUAAAUUUUCUUAAUUUUUAAUUAAAAAUUACUUCAGAUCAAGGUACAGUUUAUAUAAAAAUUUAAAUGGGUUACUAUUAAAAUAUUUAAGGAUUAUUGGUUGAAAAUUAAUAUGAAUAUGGAUUUGAAAGUAAUAAUAAAUACAAAUUUAUUGUGAUUAAGUUCUAAGAUGUGC